UGGUUUUGUUCACAAGGAAUAGGUUGGUGUGAAUUUCAUCAUUCAAUUGUUUCCUAAAUGCUUUCUGAAAUCCGGUUACCCAGACAGCAGAUAAAAUGGAUUUGGAAGGCAGUCUAUGAUAGGAUCCUCAUCUAAAUAUUGGGUGUGUUUGUAUGAUGUCUACAUCAAAUAUUUUUCAUGUUAAUCUUAGUUUAAUAGACUUCCUUGGCAUUGUUAGCCAACUUAGCG
RNAcentral lists this unclassified non-coding RNA (228 nucleotides) under Hevea brasiliensis (rubber tree). Lineage: Eukaryota; Viridiplantae; Streptophyta; Magnoliopsida; Malpighiales; Euphorbiaceae. The record is from RNAcentral.